Molecule: ribosomal RNA, 677 nt
Filed under: uncultured Staphylococcus sp.
Lineage: Bacteria; Bacillati; Bacillota; Bacilli; Caryophanales; Staphylococcaceae
Description: bacterial SSU rRNA
Rfam family: Bacterial small subunit ribosomal RNA
Source: RNAcentral
GCCUAAUACAUGCAAGUCGAGCGAACAGACGAGGAGCUUGCUCCUCUGACGUUAGCGGCGGACGGGUGAGUAACACGUGGAUAACCUACCUAUAAGACUGGGAUAACUUCGGGAAACCGGAGCUAAUACCGGAUAAUAUAUUGAACCGCAUGGUUCAAUAGUGAAAGACGGUUUUGCUGUCACUUAUAGAUGGAUCCGCGCCGCAUUAGCUAGUUGGUAAGGUAACGGCUUACCAAGGCAACGAUGCGUAGCCGACCUGAGAGGGUGAUCGGCCACACUGGAACUGAGACACGGUCCAGACUCCUACGGGAGGCAGCAGUAGGGAAUCUUCCGCAAUGGGCGAAAGCCUGACGGAGCAACGCCGCGUGAAUGAUGAAGGUCUUCGGAUCGUAAAACUCUGUUAUUAGGGAAGAACAAAUGUGUAAGUAACUAUGCACGUCUUGACGGUACCUAAUCAGAAAGCCACGGCUAACUACGUGCCAGCAGCCGCGGUAAUACGUAGGUGGCAAGCGUUAUCCGGAAUUAUUGGGCGUAAAGCGCGCGUAGGCGGUUUUUUAAGUCUGAUGUGAAAGCCCACGGCUCAACCGUGGAGGGUCAUUGGAAACUGGAAAACUUGAGUGCAGAAGAGGAAAGUGGAAUUCCAUGUGUAGCGGUGAAAUGCGCAGAGAUAUGGAGGA